Molecule: ribosomal RNA, 429 nt
Filed under: uncultured bacterium
Lineage: Bacteria
Description: bacterial SSU rRNA
Rfam family: Bacterial small subunit ribosomal RNA
Source: RNAcentral
GUGGGGAAUUGUUCGCAAUGGGCGCAAGCCUGACGACGCAACGCCGCGUGGAGGAUGAAGGUCUUCGGAUUGUAAACUCCUGUUGCCCGGGACGAAAAGCUCCGACCUAAUACGUCGGAGUCUGACGGUACCGGGUGAGGAAGCCCCGGCUAACUCUGUGCCAGCAGCCGCGGUAAUACAGAGGGGGCGAGCGUUGUUCGGAAUUACUGGGCGUAAAGGGCGCGUAGGCGGCCUUUUAAGUCGAACGUGAAAUCCCCGGGCUCAACCCGGGAACUGCGUCCGAGACUGGAGGGCUCGAAUCCGGGAGAGGGAUGUGGAAUUCCAGGUGUAGCGGUGAAAUGCGUAGAUAUCUGGAGGAACAUCGGUGGCGAAGGCGGCAUCCUGGACCGGUAUUGACGCUGAGGCGCGAAAGCCAGGGGAGCAAACGGG